AUGACUGUGUAGACUCCAGCAUGGCUAUGUCUGCUCUUUCCAGAUCGGUGAUUCUGAACAGACCCUGAAGACUCAGGACUUCUGCUACUUAAUGAAGAAAGGAGCAAGGCCCAAAGUCAGAGUUGGAUGCUCUAUGUAACAAUGUUCUUAAAGAUUUAUCUUUUGCCUUGGGGUCUUGGGGAUAAAUACUAGGACAGGCUUUUAUUUGUUUGGGGGUGGGGAGAGGCUCUUACAUAGCCCAGGCUGGCCUUGAACUCACAAUGUAACCCAGAAUGACCUUGAACGUAUCAUCUUCCAGUUUCUACUCGCCAAGUGUUUUGUGAUUAUAGGUGUGCAACCACCAUGCCAGAUUUAUGCAGUACUGAGAGUAUGGAGACAGGAUCCGGUGCUUUCUGCCUCUAGGCGGGCACUCUACCAACUGAGCCACACCCCCAACACUGUUUCUGUUUUCACUGGAAGGCUUAUGCCAAAACCAAAGCAUGGUUGCGGUUGCGAGUCCGCUGAGGAAGAGACCCCAGACUUUCAGUGGAAAGAUCUCCAUUGCCACCCGAGGCGUUUUGGUGGUCCACUGUGGAACGUGUGCUCACAUGAACAAGAGUAUGAUGUUCCUCCUGGGAACAGAGGAACAGGAAGAGAGGAACAGAUGGGCCCCCUGAGCUUCUUCUUGGCCCAGAAAAUGAAAGGCAGAGAAAAUCGUUAUAAAAAAUGGAAGCAGCUGUGGCAAAGAAGCAGCGGCUUUUUGGGUGGAUCCACUCUCAAGGGGAGGGGCUUGCAAUGUAUUAGGGCUCUGCUCCAAAGGGCAGGGGGUAGGGCUCUCAAAACAGGAUCCUUUUCGGGAUGCCACCCACCCUCCCAAGGUCCUAGGAAGGUCUGAUGGGGAUGGAAUGAUCUUCCAGAGUGCAGAGAAGACUGGCAGGCAGUCACCAAGCUCUCCGCUGGUGUUUGGCUGCCUGUACAGCAACACUGCUCUUUCCUCAAGUCACUCACAAAUCCCCCAGAUUUUGUUUGAACCUGUUUUUUGUUGAGUUCUUGGCAUGUGAAGGCAACAGCAGGUUAAUACGCCAUUUGUCGACGACUGACCGGGAGGACGCCCUGAGUAAGCAGAAAAGACCUGUAGUCAUGGUUGUUGGCUCCCAUUCAGCAACAACUGGACACUUUUCCAGGGGGACUUUUGGAUUGGGUAGCACUGAGAAGUCAAGAAUGAAAAAGGAGUGACUUGGGGGACAGAGGGAGUAGAGAUAGCCUAUCGGGAGAAUCGGGGAGUUUCUGGGAAAGUACAAUAUCUGCUCCUCUCUAACCUAGUUCCCACUAAGAAUGCUUGAACGAUAAUAAUAAUUAUAAUCUCAAUUAAAUCUCAAAGGCAGGCACAAACUAAAACCUUGCUGUAUAGAAUCAACUGGAUGCUAAUUAAAUGUUGGGAGGAUCUGCAAAUCAGAACGCUGAGCUUGUUUUGACAUUUACUUAUUUGUGUGUGUGUGUGUGUAUGUGUGAUGUGUGUGUGUUUAUGUGUGAUGUGUGUAUGAUGUGCAUGUGUGUGAUUUGUGUGUAUGUGUGAUGUGUGUGAUGUGCAUGUGUGUGUGUGUGAGUGUGUGUGUGUGAUGUGUGUGUGUGUGAUGUGUGUGUAUGUGUGAUGUGUGUGUGUUUAUGUGUGAUGUGUGUGUGAUGUGCAUGUGUGUGAUUUGUGUGUAUGUGUGAUGUGUGUGAUGUGCAUGUGUGUGUGUGUGAGUGUGUGUGUGUGNNNNNNNNNNUGUGUGUGUGUGUGAUGUGUGAGUGUGUGCAUGCCAUGAGCAAGAAUGGAGGACAGAAGAAAUCAUUUCAGGAGUCUGCUUUCUCCUUCCACACCAUCUACUUCUGGGAAUCAAACUCAGGUCAUU
Molecule: long non-coding RNA, 1874 nt
Organism: Mus spicilegus (steppe mouse)
Lineage: Eukaryota; Metazoa; Chordata; Mammalia; Rodentia; Muridae
Source: Ensembl